CUAGCACAUUAUGAUGCACCGACACUCCUCUAGGUCGUCGUAUCGGUGUGUUAGGACACGGGGGACACGGCUAGAAAUGUUUCCAACACACCACAUGCCACGUGGUGUGUCAAAUAAUUUAGUUUAAAUUUUUGACGGGGACACGGGGUGACACAGGUGGGACACGUAUGGGAACACGACGGGGGUGCAUUUGUAUUUUUAAAAUUUUUUUGGGGGUAAAUAUGUUAUUACUCAAAGUUUUGGGUUAAAACAUAAUUAAAACAUAUAUCGACUACUUUAAACCCUAAUUGGCUUCUCUCUCAUCUCUCUCACAAUCAACAGCAGCUCAGAGCUAUCUCACGAUCGACAGCAGCUCUCGCAAUAUCUCUUCGAGUCUCGCAAUCUCUCUCUCUCACUCUCGGUAUGUAUGAGAUUGGCUUGUGAUUUUCAACGGACCCAACAACCAUAAAAUGUUCAGCAGUGAAGACUUUGAAAGAGUGCCUCAUCCUUGUCAUUCAUGCCCCGGUCAAGUUUGGGAAACAGUCACUAAAUUCAAACAUCCAUUCAAGUUGUGAUGAGUUAUUUUGAAGGGAACCGUUGAUGACAACAGCGGGGAAAUUGCACCGAGUCCUCCAUAACAGGUAAAUAUUCUCUGGUCCUUCUUGGUAGACAGAGAUCAAAUAUCAUACUUUACUAUAUAGUCUUAGAUUGGUACACAAGUUACUAUUCAUUGAGUCCACAUUAGAGAGGCAAAAAAAAACAACAAAAAAGUACCCGAUUUAUAUUUUGAUUAGUGGGAUCCCAAGGAGACAGGAAUUAAAUAGAUACACAAACAGUCUAGCCCAACCCCAUUUUAAACAGGGACGGAGCCAGAAAUUUCACCACGCAGGGGCGACCGUGCAUACGAAAAAAUAAAUAAAUACACAUGUAUAAUCACGUAAAUACAUUAAAACUCAAAAUAACAUAAAUACAUAAAUCGGUUUAACUAAUGAGAUCGAUCUUGAUGUAUGUGUCUUAUUUUUCUUUAUUGUUCAUCUUUUUUUUCAUUCAUCACAACUAGACGAAUUCAGUGCAUAGGUUUUCAUGUUACUUGAUCUUACCAGUCAAAAAAUAAAGAAUUAGGAGAUGUCUAGAACAACAAUUGGGGAAAGACAUACCUACAACUUAAAUUUCAUCAAAAUUACUUAGGGUUUCCAAAAUCUCUUCUCCUUUGUCUCUAUUUUCUCGAAAUUGCCUUUGAAGUCUUAACAAGUGGGGAUGUUUAUGCCGAGAGUUUGUGCCGACGGGGGCGGGGUUAAGGGGGAUUUGGUGUGCCAUUGAGAUUUUAGGGCAAAAAGAAAUAAAACUGUAAAACACUAAACCCAUCUAACGAAAGGUGGAAGCAAUGGCGUAGCCAGGAAUUAACGAUAGUGGGGGCACUUUUUAAACACACGUUAACAAAAAAAAAAAUUCAUAAUUAGCAACACCAAAAUAAUAAAAGAAUACUUGUGCUAAAAAUAAUUUAAAAAAAAGCUAACACAUUUAGUAAGGAAGGUAGUAAUUUCAUAAACUAUCAAAAUAAUCAAUUGUUUGAAUUGUCUUAAUGGACCAAGUCUAAUAGCAGUUAGAUACACAAUAACUAAAAUGUUAAUAUUUAGCAAUCUUGAUCCAAUCAGAAAAAAUGUGCUUUUCUUUUCAAAUUUUAUGCUUAAACCUCUAAUUUCGUCACGCGUUGUGAGUUCUAUUGACAAAGACAAGAUUACUUUCAAAAUAGUGAAUAAUUAAUGAAGUAUAAUGCAUAUAACCCAUGGCUUAGCCACUUACAAAUUUGGACAUUAUGUAUUGAGGAGUUUCAAAUGGUGAGUCGUGACUCUUUUUAUUCAUUAAACAUCUCACUUCGCAAGUGUAGUAGAAUUGUUGUAAUAUUGGAAACAAAAAGUUGCGAAUGAAAUAUAUACAAAAUGUAUUAAAGUAAUUAAACAAAGAAUAAUUUAAGAAGCCAAUUACAGGGAAAAAAUACAAAAUCUGAAAAAAAAAAA
This is a long non-coding RNA of Rhododendron vialii, 1997 nucleotides long. RefSeq lists it as uncharacterized. Lineage: Eukaryota; Viridiplantae; Streptophyta; Magnoliopsida; Ericales; Ericaceae. The record is from RefSeq and is a predicted model, not a curated record. The transcript is spliced from 3 exons.